Molecule: long non-coding RNA, 4127 nt
Organism: Hippocampus zosterae (dwarf seahorse)
Lineage: Eukaryota; Metazoa; Chordata; Actinopteri; Syngnathiformes; Syngnathidae
Exons: 2
Source: RefSeq, a predicted model, not a curated record
AUCAUUUUUAUUCUUUAUUCUUUGUUUUUUACAUUUUGCAAAACUCUUAUUUAUUGUCUUAUAAUCUAAUUGUAAAAUGUAUUUGUUACACAUUUUGAUGCAUUUUUAUGCUUUAGAAAACAUUUAUGUCAGAAUUUUGGGACGGAUUAGGGCAUUUACAUGGAAAACGCGUCUCUACUUGCAACAUUUUCUUGUGAAGAAAAUUCUUCCAGAACCAAUUAAUUUCGUAAAAACAAUUAAUUUCGUAAUCAUUUCAGGCCAAUUCAGUGAAAUUGGAUGUUAGUUUUGUGCUUCUUUGUUCAUAAAGACAUUCUGUUAAAAUGAUGGCCCAUCUAAAAGAAUUGCGAUUGUCUUAAUCGAUGCCUUAGCAAGAAUCUUGUAAAAGGAAACAAACAAACAAAAAAAACAUUCACGUUAGGAAGUCUACAUUGAGAAAACCCAUAUUGUGUUGAUGAGGUCCAAUUAUAGAGUCUCUGAAGGUGCGCUCCAGCAUGGUUAGAUCACAGUAUGUAUAAAGUGUCAACUACAUGAGUUGUUCUCUUGCAAAGAGCAGCUGCAUUCUCUCCACAGAGGCUAUAAUGGCGUCGUGAGAGCUCAUACGCAGCCGGGCAUUAGCAGCCUUAGGAGGUCAAAUUAAGAGCAAAAUGAUCCAUCAAUUAGACAGCGGCAGGCCUGUAGGUGGAUCAGCCAACAGCUGCCGCAGACAAAACGGGCGCUUACCAUUAAGCGCCAGUCACGCAUGGCCGCCAUAUAUCUAAAAUAGUGCCAACUCAUAGCCGCCAAGAUGCGUAAAGAGGUCAAUUCCGACAUGAAAUUGACUUUUAAUUAGCUGUUUGCGUUUCAAUCUGUGUGUGUGUUAAUCAGUUUGGUAUCUCCAUGAAGCAGCUAGCCAUCUCUAAUUGUUUCCCUUUUAUUUCCCAGUUUACGGCUUAUUUUGAGUUCAACAACUGUCAAGGGUUUUUCUCAGUCGCUAGAUAAUCAUUCAAUACUACGUUUUGCUCUGCCGUCACUUCAAGAUUUUCAUUUGACUUCUUUGCCAAAUGAUAUGAGGGCUUCCACAUCAUACUAUCUCUUCUCAAAUAACAAUCUGCGAUCGAGUAAACACCCCCCAUUUUCAUGAACAUCUUACAUCUGGCGUGGCUUGUGGAACAACUGUGCUCCAGAGCAGCACAUAAUAGCGUACGAGUCCAGUGAUUGGCAUUGCAGACACAAUUGUUGACACACUGUUGGUAACAAAAACAGCAGAACCUAUUGGUCGAAUGAAAGUGUGGAGACACGUUGUAAUCAAGUUACGUAGUUUUCAGUUGUCGUAUUCAGUCCACAAUGUUGUGGCGCGGUGGUCGAUUGGUUAGCACAUCCGCCUCACAAUGUAGAGGUCAUUGGUUUGCAUCUGGGCCCCGGUCUUGUUUGUCAAUGUGUGUCCUGUGAUUGGCUGGCAAGCAGUUCAGGGUGCCCGAAGACAGCUGGGAUAGGCUCCAGCAUGCCCGCAACCCUCAUUAGGAUAAGGCUAAUCCAGAUAAUGGAUGAAUGGAUGGGUGUAGGGAUCUGUAUCCAAGAUGGAUUACAGGAAAAAUGAACAAUCUUCUGAUUAUUAUUUUUUUGAAGUAUCUAAUUUAUAAUCCGAUGGGAUGGUCUCUCUCAAUGUUCUGAGCUUCUGUUUACAGGAUAUUACCAUAACAUUGAUGCAGUAGCUCAAGUUCCAUCAGCUGGCGUCAUUUUGACAGCAAGCGAGUUGAAAUAGUGCCUCUGCUGGUUGAAGCAAAGCACUGGACUUGGUUUAUCCUCAAUUGCUCCAAGACACAGUUAAUCGAUGAUCAAUUAAUCUAUAGUGAAUAUUAAUUUGUACUGUUAUUAUCACACACAAAAAAGACAGCCUCUGCCGAAUAAACGUCUUUCUCCCAACGGACGCAGUUGAGUCACUAAACAUCCCGUGUAUGUACACGUUUAUUUCUUCGUUUUUUUCCCAAGUCAUUAGCAUGUUUUCAUAAUGUAGUAAAACGGUACUAUAGGUUUCAAGUUCCCUGGUGAAUUCCUGUUGCUGUCUGCUGUCAAAUGAUGCUGUGAUAGAUGCCCUCCUUUUAUCUCCUGGCCAUACGAGGGCCUUAUGAAUCUCCAAAUGUGUCUUUAUUUAUUUAUUUAUUUAUUUAUUUAUUUAUUUAUUUAUUUAUUUUUGCAUAUGGGAUUUUCUACAAUAGAGCAGUGUGAAUUAUUAAAAUCAAAUUAAAUUUGGCCUUCACAACAGCUUGGCAAAUGCAAAUUAAAGACGCCAGCUGUGUGUGGCUGAAAUCUAAUGAGUUGGGAGGGCUGGGGUGAGGGUGAGGGGUGACGGCUGGCAGACAAAAUUUGAUGGCACCACAAAUGAACACAAAGGAGAGGAGAAACGCCGUCGUGUAUGUUGCAGGCAGGAAAUUAUGGAAACACGUCAGAGAUGUUGUCCUAAUGAAUGACCUAUCGAGGGUAAGAUUCAGUUAGUAGACGCCAACCAUGUGGUCCACAAAUUGCCUAAUCUUGGAAUUCCUUGCUAAAAUAAAUGGGGGUGGAAAAAAUGAAAGACUUUUGCAGAUUUCUUGGAGUAGUUUUGUACAAAACUAGCCAGAAAGUUGGCUCAAAUUGACCCAAGUCGCGGGUGUUUACUUCCUGCCCAUUCCUGCUUGACAGCAUUUACUGACAUGUGUGAGUGACAUUAUUUGGACAUUCAAACGGCAAAACUCGAGCCGAUUAUUAUUAUUAUUUUGAAAAUAUUGGCUGACCAAUAAAAUCGGCCACUGCUAUAGCCCAAAUCUCAAAGCACCACAGACUAUACCACUGAUUAACAUGAAAUUGCCAAACUUGGAAGUUUCCAUCAGCGUGUUCAGGGAGUAUGGCAGCGGAAUCUUAUGAUGGCACCACUGUAACAUUUUAUACAUGCAAUAACCUGGCUCCCGAUGCUCCGAUUUCCUUCUAACCCUGCAUACGCUCAUCGAGUUCUUCAUCUAUCGCACCUCCGACACUGACAUUUUUUUUUUUGAAUGCGCUUUAUUUUAUUUUUUUAAAUGGUAGCAUAAAAUAAAAUCAUCUGGCUCCAGAUACAUGUUUUACGCAAGCUUUACAUAUACCUAAAACAUGUAUCUGUACCAUUUGACGAAAUAAAAUUGCGUCAAUUCAACGUUCCGAUUUAUUUCAGUAUUUUUUUCUACAUGGGAGUGCAAGGGCUCAUUCAUACUUUUGCCUUGUUUUCUCAUCUCUUCAUUCUUUCAUAAAUCAUCCUACCAUAGUGCCAUUUCAAUUUCUGAGCAUGCUCAACAGGGGCUGGGUGGGUUUAAGAUUUUGAAUAUUGGUACAACUUCUUAAACAAUAUGGUUUGAAUGCUAAUGAUGGUAGCUUAUUAUAAAUGAGAAUCUGUAUAUUAUGGAAAAUCAGCACAGGACCUUUCUUUGUGGGGCAGGGGUCCAUAUAGGUGAGGGUUUGUAACGUCGGGGGGUGGGAGGGGCGGGCAGUUCGUGGUUUUGCUCUCUAAAGAUAUGAAUAUUUCGGUUUGUCAGCACAAAGCAAACAAAGUCAGACAAAGUCAGUGGAGUACACUUUACUGACCUACAGAGGGCAAUAGAGGCAACUCAGUACUAUGACGUAAUAGUGGAAGGGCAAACGCUGUUUACAGGUUGUACGUUUCUUCCUUCUGUUUUCUCUUUUUAGUAUUUAAUUGCCACCUCUUUUUGUGGCAGUGUCAGUACAGCAUGGAUCAACUGACAGGGAAAAGCAGUAUCUUUUUUAUAUAUAUGCUAUAUUCAAGGGGUACAAAAAAUCACGUGUUAUGUAUUAUUAUUCCUAUGAUUAUGAUUAUUAGCCUGAGAUACCAAACAAACAUUCCCCCUACCUUUGCUGAAAUUUUCUUAAGACUUGCUGCUUAGAUGACUUCAUAUUAAUGACUGAUGAUUAAUGGUUUUAUAAUUAAUUGUCAAUCAAGUAUGUAACUAUUUAUUUAUUUAUUCAUUUAUUUAUUUAUGUAUUUAUUUGAGAUUAAUUUAAUUUGCGGUCCAAGGUAAGAUAAAGAUGUGUAUAACAAUAAUGAUAAGGAAAUGAUUAUUGGGGCUUUUUCUCUCUUUCUCUCCUUUUUUUCCAAUUUUACAAUAAAUUAUGAAAAAAUCAAA